RNAcentral lists this ribosomal RNA (497 nucleotides) under uncultured bacterium. RNAcentral describes it as "partial 16S ribosomal RNA". It matches the Rfam family "Bacterial small subunit ribosomal RNA", at positions 28 to 507 of the family's 1533-position model. The record is from RNAcentral.
GAUGAACGCUGGCGGCGUGCCUAAUACAUGCAAGUCGAGCGAACGGACGAGAAGCUUGCUUCUUUGACGUUAGCGGCGGACGGGUGAGUAACACGUGGAUAACCUACCUAUCAGACUGGGAUAACUUCGGGACACCGGAGCUAAUACCGGAUGAUAUCUUGAACCGCAUGGUUCAAUAGUGAAAGACGGUCUUGCUGUAUCUUAUAGAUGCAUCCGCGCUGCAUUAGCUAGUAGGUAAGGUAACGGCCUACCACGGCAACGAUGCAUAGCCGACCUGAGAGGGGGAUCGGCCACACUGGAACUGGGACACGGUCCAGACUCCUACGGGAGGCAGCAGUAGGGAAUCUUCCGCAAUGGGCGAAAGCCUGACGGAGCAACGCCGCGUGAGUGAUGAAGGUCUUCGGUUCGUAAAACUCUGUUAUUAGGGAAAAACAGAUGUGUAAGUAACUGUGCACAUCUUGACGGUACCUAAUCAGAAAGCCACGGCUAACUACGUG